Molecule: ribosomal RNA, 218 nt
Filed under: uncultured bacterium
Lineage: Bacteria
Description: partial 16S ribosomal RNA
Rfam family: Bacterial small subunit ribosomal RNA
Source: RNAcentral
ACGCUCGACACCUACGUGAGGCAGCAGUGAGGAAUAUUGGUCAAUGGGCGCUAGCCUGAACCAGCCAAGUAGCGUGAAGGAUGAAGGCUCUAUGGGUCGUAAACUUCUUUUANAUAAGAAUAAAGUGCAGUAUGUAUACUGUUUUGUAUGUAUUAUAUGAAUAAGGAUCGGCUAACUCCGUGCCAGCAGCCGCGGUAAUCUGAGCGGGCUGGCAAGGC